Non-coding RNA from Myroides odoratus DSM 2801, 35 nucleotides. The record is from Rfam. NCBI's taxonomy places the organism in Bacteria, Pseudomonadati, Bacteroidota, Flavobacteriia, Flavobacteriales, Flavobacteriaceae.
AAGGAAGUACUCGAAAAUCCUUAAUAGAGUAGAGA